GAGAGCGGCCUUAGCAACCGCUUGUGAGCUGUAAAGACUUGGGUUGGGCGGGGCUGUCGGAGGUGACGCCGGGAGGUCCCGGCUGAGAGUGCCGGCUGGGGACAUGAUUGCAAUGUGGGCCUUAGGAUUUGAACCAAAGGAAGAAGAAAUUUUAAGAAUGAUAGCUGAAAUUGAUAAAGAAGGAAUUGGAAAUGCUUGAUGAAGCUGAUCAUGAUGGAGAUGGAAAAAUAAAUGAGGAAGAAUUUUCGAGAGUGAUGAAAAAGACUACUCUUUAUUAAUAGUGUUGUUUUGGUCCUUGUGGAAAAUUAACAAAUUUGUAUUUGUUAUAUAGUUUUGUACUUUAAUAUCUGAAUGUAUUCAUUUUAAGUUUUUAGUUUAUAUGUACACAUUGGCUUCUUGAUGUCUAAUCCAUGUAAGAAGUUACACAUCUCUACCAGUAUGUUGUUAAAUCUACAGCAUCAAGAAACAAAACAUAAUGACUUCUUUGAACCAUUAAUGCAAGAACAGUAUUAAUUCUACCUGCUCUUUUGAGAACCCUAGGUCACAAGGAGUUAGAAUUUUUAAGUUUGAUGAAGUUGGCUUCAUAUCCAAAUGAAUUUGGCAAACAAACCCUGUAUUUUCCUUUUGUGCAACUCAAAAAAACCUGAUGAACAUUUGCUUUUUAGUCAGUUACUCAAAUACGUAAAGUAUUAAAUAGAACUGUCUGGAAACAUUAUUUGCUAAUUUUCUUCUUUUAGUUGUAAAGAAAAUUCAAAACAGCAUUUACAUCACCCAUAUUUCCCUGUAAGUUUGACCCUAUAGUCAGCACUUAAUACCUCUGUGUUAGGACAGGUGGUGUAGGGAGUUUAUUUUAUUUUAUUUUAUUUAUAUAUUUUUUGAGACAGAGUCUC
Cercocebus atys (sooty mangabey) is the source of this 890-nucleotide long non-coding RNA. RefSeq lists it as uncharacterized. The record is from RefSeq and is a predicted model, not a curated record. The transcript is spliced from 3 exons. Lineage: Eukaryota; Metazoa; Chordata; Mammalia; Primates; Cercopithecidae.